Molecule: ribosomal RNA, 467 nt
Filed under: uncultured bacterium
Lineage: Bacteria
Description: partial 16S ribosomal RNA
Rfam family: Bacterial small subunit ribosomal RNA
Source: RNAcentral
GACGAACGCUGGCGGCGUGCUUAACACAUGCAAGUCGAACGGAAAGGCCCUGCUUUUGUGGGGUGCUCGAGUGGCGAACGGGUGAGUAACACGUGAGUAACCUGCCCUUGACUUUGGGAUAACUUCAGGAAACUGGGGCUAAUACCGGAUAGGAGCUCCUGCUGCAUGGUGGGGGUUGGAAAGUUUCGGCGGUUGGGGAUGGACUCGCGGCUUAUCAGCUUGUUGGUGGGGUAGUGGCUUACCAGGGCUUUGACGGGUAGCCGGCCUGAGAGGGUGACCGGCACAUUGGGGAUGGGGAACGGGCCCAACUCCCACGGGGGGGCAGAGGGGGGAAUAUUUGAAAAAGGGGGGGAGGCCUAAGGCAGAAACCCGGGGGGGGGGAGGAGGGCCUUGGGGUUGAAAACCCUUUUGCCCGUGAAGGAAGGGGGGGGGAGGGAAAUGGGAAAGAAAACCCCGGCAAACUACGG